RNAcentral lists this long non-coding RNA (899 nucleotides) under Chinchilla lanigera (long-tailed chinchilla). RNAcentral describes it as "lncRNA (ENSCLAG00000024980.1)". The record is from RNAcentral. Lineage: Eukaryota; Metazoa; Chordata; Mammalia; Rodentia; Chinchillidae.
CAGUGAUGUGGUGGGGACUGAGAGAGAGAGAGAGAGAGAGAGAGAGGGAGAGAGAGAGAGAGAGAGAAUGUGCACCAUAGCGUCAUAGCUAACAUUCCCGGCGUGGUAGCUGUUUCUAUAGAAAUCAGCCCUGUACUGUGUACAUCACUUGCGUGAGGCUGUCUCCACUCAUAACAGUUUUCCAUGUCAACCGUUCUUCCAGAAUGAUAUUUUUAGCGAUUGCACAAUAUUUCACUACAUUUAAGUGUGAUUUAUUUAAAUUAUCCCCUCCUGUUGAACCUUGAGAUUGUUUCCAAUUGUUGCUUUUAAAAUACAGUGAGAUUAACUCCAUCAGUCAUCUAUCCUUGUCAGCAUUUUGGAUGACAGGGCUUCCUCAGAUGGGCUUUUUGUAGGAGGAGGAUUACUGCGGACAAAGGGUGCAGAUAGCUUUCAGGCUUUUAUUCAGGUUGCCAGACGCCUUCUCAGAGAGAUCUCGCGGACUGACACCCUCACCUGCGGCGGAGGAUGCUGACUGCUCAGCCCACACAGGAGGGGCCGGGGGAGCGGUCUCGCUAUGUAUCCCAGGCUGGCCUCGAACUCGCAGGUGUCUUCCUGCCUCAGCCUCAAUAAAGCAGGACUCUGGGUCAUAGAGGUAAAGGGGAAUUUGAGGAGGGGGAACCCUUUCUCGUGAGAAUAAGGGUGUUGACAGCCCAGUUGCAUAGAUGACCUUGACUUUGAGCCACUCUUUCAGGGAACAGUUAAUUCCUGUUUUAUAUAAAAUCUUCCAAAAAAAAAUUAGAGCAAGAGUUGCCCAGAUCAUUUUGUGAAACCGAUGUGUUUUUGAUUCCAAAGUUGUUAAGGACAAAAUAAUAAAUGAGAAAGUGAAGCUCAUUUCACCUAUGAAAGUAGGGAUAAAAGUC